Molecule: long non-coding RNA, 3491 nt
Filed under: Gouania willdenowi (blunt-snouted clingfish)
Lineage: Eukaryota; Metazoa; Chordata; Actinopteri; Blenniiformes; Gobiesocidae
Description: lncRNA (ENSGWIG00000014405.1)
Source: RNAcentral
CCAGCACAGACACCAGAUCAGGAUAUAAGCAGUUGGAACUGUUCUUAUUCUCAGAAAGUGUGGAUGAGGACAGAGCUCCAAUCUCUGGGACUGUGGCCUGGGUCCUAUCAUUUACUCAAGCCAGGAAACGCCCUUUCAUUAUGGCGUCUCCCUCCACAGCCAGAACUCAUUGACACAGUGUUAGCACUCCCAUCCCGCAAUUUCUUUCAGCUCUAUCCAUUUUUUAUUUGGAAACCAGAGAGUGACAUCAUGGUGAGACUGAGAAAUAAUUAUGUACUCCCAUGUCUUCAUGGUUGUCCAAAGCCAGAUAUAGUCUCAGCUGGUGUGGGUAGGCCUCGAGUGAUUGUUGGCUCCAGUGGACAAUACUACAUCUUUGCUUCACGCCUUCGCUGCAGGAUGUGCAAGAGGAUCUGGUUUGCUGCGGUUCACAAACAUUCUGCCAGCAUUCCUCACGUACAAGAAGGCCAUUUGCAAGUCUGUGCUUCAUGAGCUUAGGCGCACGGGCAAGUCAGCCUCAGACAUGGCAAACCAGGUGAAUGAGCUGAUGCACCUUAAAUAUGAACAAGCUCAUCUGGCAUACCUUUGCAGCAUACAGAAUGUCUGGGAUGCUGAGGCUGGGAUUUACGGGCAGAAAACUCUUGGUCACCUCGUGAGGAAGGAUGACACGCCACAGUCUUUUGGAGCCUAUGAUGACGCAGAGGGGUGGUGUGGAGUCUCUGUCUCUGCUCACUACUUGACUGACUGCCUUAUUGAUGAAUACCGCCGCCAAGAGCCAGCUAUCACUAAACUCCUGCAAGGCACUUUUGGACAGGUUAUGCGGUCUGACCACACCAGGAAGGUGGCACGAAAAGUAACCUUGUCAUCCGGCACCAUGUCAAGCUACGCAGUUAUGAAUGAGAGUUGGAUGAUUGCCUCCUGGGUGAUGGUGCAGUCUGAGACAGAGAAGUCCCUUGAACCCAUGUACCAGGGCUUAUCCAAGAGGUACAGUGAUGCAGGGGUGGAGAAGGCCAAUUACCACUGGGUAGACAGGGAUUGCUGUGCGCCAUUCAAAAUCCCUGACCUUCACCACGGAGAGCACCUCAAAUGGGAUGCCUGGAGGACCACACAAUCUGUCAUCACUGAGGCCACUGCUGGGACUCUGGUGAACACCUGUGCGUCCCGUACACAGUACAACCCGGACAUUGUGGUGAAAUUGGAUUUGUUUCACUGCAUGAGGCGUUUCACACGUGAGUGCACUUCAGAACACCAUCCCCUCUACAGCACCUUCUGUCAGCUCCUCUCCACUGCCUUUUCUGUUGUGGAUUUGGACGAUCUGCAGAGGCUCAAGGAUGCUUAUCAGUUUUGUGGAAUUCAGCCACCAAAUCCCACAAAACAGCACACCAGGGAUCACUGUAGGACCAAAAUUCCACAGCCGAUAGAACUGGUAGACAGAGUAGAGAAAGUUCUUUACCAUUUCCACCUGACCACAGACCCAAACAACAUGCCGCUCUUCAAACCAUCCAUGCUGAAGACAUGGCGGAUCCAGAGGGUGCACAUUCUCCGCGGGUGCCUCAGUGACCCUGAGGUCACAGGGGCAAUCCUGUACAGGUAUGGGGGAACUCUGCAGCUUAAUCAUGUCCCUGGUGAAGGUGCAAAAGUCCCCAUCUGGAUUCCAGUCAGAGGGACCUCACAGCAAGAGGGGUAUCAUUUCCACCAGUCCCAGUGGAUUACUGGAACUCAUGUGUCCUGCGAAUUGUUCCAGGCCCAGGGCAUGACAGGGGUGGCACGAUGGAACUACCAAAGGCUUCUGGACCUGAAGCAGCCUGAUGUAAUCCUCCCACCUGUGUUAGAUCCAGUACUCAUAACUGAGCUCAACGCUGCUUCAAAGAGAGUGACUGGAGAAGAGAAGUACCCUGCACUUCGCCUCUCUGAUCGGGACACUGGGGAGAGGUUUGGCCUUGAAUACAUAGAACCUGGGUGCCGUCCAGUUCCACUAGAUUGGAACAAACAUAGAGUGCAAAGGAAAGCUGACUCUUCUGUUCUUGUGCCUCUCCCCCCUGGCCCAACACCAUCCAUAAACGCAGCACCACCCAGUGCUGUGCCUGUGUUCCAGUUCCCCCAACUUGAACCUGCAGCAAUCCGUAACCAACAGAUGUUGUCCCAAGGAAGCAUGGAACCUCAAGUUAAAAUGGAAACCUCAAAUAUCCCACCCCUGCCGUUGCAGUCUUCUCCAAGGAGUGCCCGCACUGGACCUAUCAAGACGGGUGGGCGAGUGUUCGUCUUGGACCACAAACGCUGGACUUCACCAAUGAAGAAAGCUAUCGACGACCUCAUAGAUAAGUAUCACGGACAGAAAGACAUGUUGAAGCUUGUGGAUCUAGACUACGCAGCUAUGGUGCAUCGGUCUGCCACAGAUCCAAACAGUCUGCUCCACCCCACAACCAAAUACCAUGUAACACAGUACAUGAAACACCUGGCUAAACAUGUGAACACAAGUUCAUCACUGAACACCAGUCCAGAAAAAAUGUUGGCGACACAAAAACUGUGGCAGAGUUUAACUGAGGAAAGUGAGACUGUCCAUGUCCCGGUUGUAGAACUGCCCCCAGCAAUUGUGAAUCCAGCAGAUCCGGUGUCACAGCCAGCACCUGAAAAGCCACUAACACAGGAGAAUGUACAGAAAAUGGUACAGGACAUAUUGCUACGUCAGCAGGACCAGCAACAACAGCAGCAGCAACAAAAACCAAGACAGACAAAAAAAUGUCUCUCGUGUGGGCAGCCAAAAUCCCGCUACCAAAAUGACGGAUCAUCAGUUCAUCACUUUUAUCAAAAAGGGCCCAUUAGAUACUUCUAUUGCUCCACAAAGGUGUUUAAAGCCUAUUGUGCAGAGGGCCUGGCAAACCCUAUAAUGACCUUUGAAGAGUUUGCACAGACUGAUUUCUUUCAGCAUGAACUUCAACUAACAAAGUGCAGAGUGGAGGACAAAGCUGAGAAGAAGAGGAAACUUCCAGACCCUCAACCUCAGGGAAGAAUGUGUCGAUUCUGUCGCACAGAGCUAAGGCAGGGCACAAACAGCUAACAUUUACACACAGGGUUUCCAGGAGUGGCAGGAAAAUACAUUUACUGUCCACCGAAAGUCCUCGCCUUAUAUAAAGACAGAGGCAUGACGAAGGAAAUGACAUGGAGGGAAUUUCAAGCCUCAUCAUUUUAUGACAUGGAAAAGGAGAGGUGGGCAGCAGAGGGAAAGAAGUGGCAAUGUUGACAUUUUAUGCAUACACUUCAUAUUUUAAUCAUCCACUGUUCUCAUAUUGCACCAUUCUGUUUCUCCAUCCAUUCUUUUCAAUAACAUACACAUUUCAAUCAGUCAUUGUUUUGUUUUGUUCAAGAUGGUGUUCAGAAUUUACCCCCAGACAUUGAAUGUUUUUUACCCAAGAUGCUCAAACUCAAACAAUGGUACAAUUGGUGCAUGAUACUAAUGCAGGCGUAGUGUCAGGUGUGUAAAUUGUGUAAUUUAA